Molecule: long non-coding RNA, 569 nt
Filed under: Gallus gallus (chicken)
Lineage: Eukaryota; Metazoa; Chordata; Aves; Galliformes; Phasianidae
Source: RNAcentral
CAGCAGCCUGCAGAACCAUCUUAUCAGGAAUACUUCCAAAGAACUACGCUGGAUAACACAAAGCACAACAGACUACAGUAAUUUUUACUGCUGUCGCCCAUUAUCAGAAAUGGUAUUACAGGAGAGAUGGCUGUAUUGGGUCUUAAUUAAAUGUAACUAAACAGGCUUUCCACUGAACAGAAUGACAAGCUAACAGGUCAGACGUGACACCCAAUUCCAGUUAUCUGCUGUUGCUCUGCUGAAUUCUUGAAUUCAUUUUGCACAUCAUAUUGAAUAACUCUUGAACUUUACAUGUCCAAAUUAAGCCCCUGGUACUCACCCUCGUGCCCAUCACAUACCUGCCAAGUAACGUAUUGUAUCGAGUUUAUUUGAUUCCAUGAGUGUUUUUAAGGAAGCUAUUUCAGUGUCAAUUUUAUUACUGAUCUCUGAAAUAAUGCUGUUGGUACUCGAAUCUUUUUUAUGAAACUCUGUAGUUGCUUCCAUCAACUUCCUCUCUUGAUCUGUAAACAUAUCUGUCACUCUGCUCCUUUCCAGGUUUAUGUCUAGCUUGCUGUCGGCUUGGAUUUUAC